This 78-nucleotide transfer RNA is filed under the name Paramuricea clavata. Its description in RNAcentral is "tRNA-Ser". The record is from RNAcentral. Lineage: Eukaryota; Metazoa; Cnidaria; Anthozoa; Malacalcyonacea; Plexauridae.
GUCUCUGUAGCUCAGUUGGUUAGAGCGCUGCACCGGAAUCGUAGGGCCGUAGGUUCAACUGAUUCCUACCAGAGGACC